CGGACGGGUGAGUAAUGUCUGGGAAACCGCCUGAUGGAGGGGGGUAACUACUGGAAACGGUAGCUAAUACCGCAUAACGUCGCAAGACCAAAGAGGGGGACCUUCGGGCCUCUUGCCAUCGGAUGUGCCCAGAUGGGAUUAGCUAGUAGGUGGGGUAACGGCUCACCUAGGCGACGAUCCCUAGCUGGUCUGAGAGGAUGACCAGCCACACUGGAACUGAGACACGGUCCAG
RNAcentral lists this ribosomal RNA (232 nucleotides) under uncultured bacterium. RNAcentral describes it as "partial 16S ribosomal RNA". It matches the Rfam family "Bacterial small subunit ribosomal RNA", at positions 99 to 334 of the family's 1533-position model. The record is from RNAcentral.